AUUGAACGCUGGCGGCAUGCCUACACAUGCAAGUCGAACGGCAGCACGGGGGCAACCCUGGUGGCGAGUGGCGAACGGGUGAGUAAUGCAUCGGAACGUGCCCAGUAGUGGGGGAGUAACUAGUCGAAAGAUUAGCUAAUACCGCAUACGACCUAUGGGUGAAAGCGGGGAGUUCGCAAGAACCUCGCGCUAUCGGAGCGGCCGAUGUCUGAUUAGCUAGNGGCGGGGUAAAGGCCCACCAAGGCUUCGAUCAGUAGCUGGUCUGAGAGGACGACCAGCCACACUGGGACUGAGACACGGCCCA
RNAcentral lists this ribosomal RNA (304 nucleotides) under uncultured bacterium. Its description in RNAcentral is "bacterial SSU rRNA". It matches the Rfam family "Bacterial small subunit ribosomal RNA", at positions 30 to 333 of the family's 1533-position model. The record is from RNAcentral.